ACGGCUCAGUAACACGUGGAUAACCUACCCUUAGGACCGGGAUAACCCUGGGAAACUGGGGAUAAUACUGGAUAGGCAAUUUUUCCUGUAAUGGUUUUUUGUUUAAAUGUUUUUUCGCCUAAGGAUGGGUCUGCGGCCGAUUAGGUAGUUGGUUAGGUAAUGGCUUACCAAGCCGUUGAUCGGUACGGGUUGUGAGAGCAAGAGCCCGGAGAUGGAACCUGAGACAAGGUUCCAGGCCCUACGGGGUGCAGCAGGCGCGAAACCUCCGCAAUGUGAGAAAUCGCGACGGGGGGAUCCCAAGUGCCAUUCUUAACGGGAUGGCUUUUCAUUAGUGUAAAGAGCUUUUGGAAUAAGGGCUGGGCAAGACCGGUGCCAGCCGCCGCGGUAACACCGGCAGCUCUAGUGGUAGCAGUUUUUAUUGGGCCUAAAGCGUCCGUAGCCGGUUUAAUAAGUCUCUGGUGAAAUCCUGCAGCUUAACUGUGGGAAUUGCUGGAGAUACUAUUAGACUUGAGAUCGGGAGAGGUUAGAGGUACUCCCAGGGUAGAGGUGAAAUUCUGUAAUCCUUGGAGGACCGCCUGUUGCGAAGGCGUCUAACUGGAACGAUUCUGACGGUGAGGGACGAAAGUUAGGGGCGCGAACCGGAUUAGAUACCCGGGUAGUCCUAACUGUAAACGAUGCGGACUUGGUGUUGGGGUGGCUUUGAGCUGCUCCAGUGCCGAAGGGAAGCUGUUAAGUCCGCCGCCUGGGAAGUACGGUCGCAAGACUGAAACUUAAAGGAAUUGGCGGGGGAG
This 791-nucleotide ribosomal RNA is filed under the name uncultured archaeon. RNAcentral's name for it is "bacterial SSU rRNA". It matches the Rfam family "Archaeal small subunit ribosomal RNA", at positions 85 to 876 of the family's 1478-position model. The record is from RNAcentral.